AUACGAAAGGUGCAAGCGUUGUUCGGAUUUACUGGGCGUAAAGAGAGUGUAGGUGGUUUAUUAAGUCGGACGUGAAAUCCCGGGGCUCAACCUCGGAACUGCAUUCGAUACUGAUAGGCUAGAGUUUGGGAGGGGUAAGCGGAAUUCCGUGUGUAGCAGUGAAAUGCGUAGAUAUACGGAGGAACACCUGAGGCGAAGGCGGCUUACUGGACCAAUACUGACACUGAGACUCGAAAGCGUGGGUAGCAAACAGGAUUAGAAACCCUAGUAGUCC
RNAcentral lists this ribosomal RNA (274 nucleotides) under uncultured bacterium. RNAcentral's name for it is "partial 16S ribosomal RNA". It matches the Rfam family "Bacterial small subunit ribosomal RNA", at positions 523 to 796 of the family's 1533-position model. The record is from RNAcentral.